AUAACUGGAUGUACCAGUAUAUGAGGGGCACAGGCAUGCCAAAUGCAGCCACACACUUUCAAUGUGAUGCUGCUCUGCACAACCCUGAAAUACCACAAGCUGGUAUGUCUUAAACUUUUGCUUAUUUAUUUUUUCUUCAAAAAUGUUCCAACAAAAAAUAUAGCUAUUGAUCGUGAUUUUCUGCAGGGAAAAAAAAAACGGACCCAUUUAAGGUGUGGAAAUAUAAGAUUGGACCAGUUAGGGAACUAAUGGUAAAAUAGGCCCAACCGCUGAUUUCCGUGUCUUAUGGACUAGUUUACCCUUCGACUGAUGCAAAGACUUGUUUGCAUAUCAUAAACAUAUAAACAUACUUAUUUAUAUCAGUCACAAUACAAAUAUAAAAUGCAAAGACUUGUUUGCAUACUUACAAACAACAACAUAAACCAUAAACAUUAAAUGCAAAGAAUUGUUUGCAUACUCGAAACGACAACAAGAUAAACUAGAAAAUGUAAAGACUUGUUUGCAUUAGUCACAACACAUAAAGAUUAAAUGCAAAAACUUGUUUGCAUACUCGAAACAAUGACAUACCAUAAAAAUGCAAACAUUUGUUUGCAUAAACCAGAAGGGUAUUAUCGGUAGUGAAAGAGCCGUUUUUACAAUAUCAACGUUAAAUGGGUCUUUUCUUAUUUUACAAAUGCUUAAUGAGGGCCAAUAUUAUAAACCGGGCCUUAGUUGGGCCAAUUGUGUUUUAUAGGUGCUUAAUGAGGGCCUAGAACCACUUCCGUGGAUUUUCUGUGAAACAACAUGAUUCAACCUGAACAUACUACAACCGGGGAUACAGGAUCCUGACCUGGACCAUGCACAUAGAGAGCAUCCCCAUGUGGGCAUGCCCUUUCAGCACAGACUUUACCCUGAGAACAUAAAUCAGCAACAACGUGCGGUGGUACAGCAACAUCAGAAGCAGAAUAUACUAUAUUUUUGAGUCAUAGUAUAAACGAAAUUUUUAUUUACACAUUGUUGAAAAGGACUUACUAGCUAUUAUAUGCUAAAUAGGCACCCCCAACAUAAAAACAUAAAAGUUUUACAUGUCAUGAAACUAUUAUCAACAACAGCUUACAAACUGGAUAUCAUAUAUCCUUA
This 1119-nucleotide long non-coding RNA is filed under the name Aquilegia coerulea. Its description in RNAcentral is "long non-coding RNA (ACOE_LNC001216)". The record is from RNAcentral. Lineage: Eukaryota; Viridiplantae; Streptophyta; Magnoliopsida; Ranunculales; Ranunculaceae.